UUUUUUUUUUUUUUUGCAUUGAAAUCAAAGCCACAAAUAAAGCAAUAAAAAGAUCUGAAGGUAAGAAUAUUGUUACCUUGGCUUUAACUAUAAUUGUUCAAUACAUAUUUGUAUGUCUAUUCUUGCAAUAAAAAUACCAAUAUUGUUUAAAAGCAACAGUAAAUUUUAAAAAAUCCUUUUGCAUAUAGAACAGACUUUUAAUCAUAUGAAACUUGUUACAUUAUUAAAGUAAUUUAAGGAUGCCUGCCUCAUAAUGUUACUCUGUUAAGCUAAUGUUAAUUGAUUUAAGGGAACCAUUUUGGCAUAGACAAAGGAUGAUUUCCUUGAGUAUCAUUCUCUUCUACAGAAAACUGCCAUCAAUUGACCAAUAUUUGAAAAGCACUUAUGUUAAAAUAUAUCUAGAAAGCUCUAUGUAUUAUUCAGAUUAGUUUGUAUGUUUAGAAAGCCCCAAUUAAUCCCAUUGAAUAUAUUUUUCAAUUACUUAAAUACUUUUCAAUUACUUCAGUAAAAAGAACUCACAGAUGAGUUUGAAGCUAUGCAGGUCUUAAUGGCUCAGACUUUGAUGUCCAUGAGCAAACACUAGAAACACUGUGCAUUGUGAUCAUGAACACAAUACAGUUUUUCCACAGCAGAAUUCACGUUCUAGAAAUCUUUCUUUAUUACUGUGCUCACAAUGGACUGGGUAUAACAAAAUGUAUCCUAUGCUAUCUAUGACUUUGCAUUAGCUAUUUCAUGAAGAAUAAAUAGAGAAGGCAUUUCUGCAAAGGCUUAAAAAAUAAAAUCUCAUGUAACUGUUAUUAAAUAGCAGUAAUAAAUUUCAUUAAUAAUUCUUUAAUUCUGUGGGAAACUGUUUUCCUGUAUCAAAUUCACAGUCUGGAACAGGUCACAGUGCACUUUUUUGCCAUUAGCAUCUCCUAUACAUACACCUGUGUUUAGUUUUAUAUGCUCACAACCCAGCUGUACAUUGGCUCUUUGUGCAAUACUGCUUUCUCACUUUUCUCCCCUCCCCACAUCCAGUUUUCCAGUUUCUGUUUAUAUUGCAGAGGUUUUUACCAUUAGGCACAUUUUCCCACAGAAUCGUUUCUGAUGAAAACAGCAAGUAUAAUAGUACACCAUACUGGUAAACAAUUUCUUACCACUCUAUAUGCAAAGUGGAUGUCCAUCACAGAAAAAAAGGUUUACUUUUCUUUGCCAAAAUAAAACUUUUUUUAUAUGUCACCAGUCUUUUAAAGAUCUAUACAUUGAAAAAAGAAAUGUAAACUUUCUAAAAAUGUGAACAUUUUUAAUAGAGAGCUUCCAACUAUUCAGAGAUUACUCCAACCUUAAAAAACUGUGUUUAGUCAUGCACGAUUCUUUAUCCCAAAGUAAUACUUAAAAUCUCAAUAUUGAAAAACAGUAGCUCAGACAUACCUUAGAAGUCAGUAACUAGUUACAUACUUUAAAUUCUGAGAAUAUCAAGUUCUUGGACAUUUUUGUGUCUCUUGUAUCAAAAUAGAUGUACGUACACCAGGUAAUACAGGCUCGCUACCAACUCAGAAGAGAAUCUCAAUACGUAGAAGUAAUUUCAGAAAUAUUUCUGUUUAAAAAUAGAUUAUACAUGCAAUAUAUCUGUUCUAACUUAAAUGAGACUGUAUAAAAUAUUUGGCAAAAUAAUUAUUCUUCAGCCUUAUUCUAAAUCCAGUGUAAAGCUGCUCAAAUUGGAAUAACCUUACAUUUAAUUGUAAAUUUCCUCAUUAUUGUUCUGCUUCAUAGUACAUGGGGAUUAGGUACACUCAGGGGCAGAGAGACUGCUCAAAAUACUUAAAUCAGCAAAGCUUUGAUUUCCAUGUGCAGAACUGCAACUGUUGGAAACUAAACUAUAAAAAAAA
Molecule: long non-coding RNA, 1868 nt
Organism: Strigops habroptila (Kakapo)
Lineage: Eukaryota; Metazoa; Chordata; Aves; Psittaciformes; Psittacidae
Source: Ensembl